AUUGAACGCUGGCGGCAGGCCUAACACAUGCAAGUCGAGCGGAUGAAGGGAGCUUGCUCCUGGAUUCAGCGGCGGACGGUUGAGUAAUGCCUAGGAAUCUGCCUGGUAGUGGGGGAUAACGUCCGGAAACGGGCGCUAAUACCGCAUACGUCCUGAGGGAGAAAGUGGGGGAUCUUCGGACCUCACGCUAUCAGAUGAGCCUAGGUCGGAUUAGCUAGUUGGUGGGGUAAAGGCCUACCAAGGCGACGAUCCGUAACUGGUCUGAGAGGAUGAUCAGUCACACUGGAACUGAGACACGGUCCAGACUCCUACGGGAGGCAGCAGUGGGGAAUAUUGGACAAUGGGCGAAAGCCUGAUCCAGCCAUGCCGCGUGUGUGAAGAAGGUCUUCGGAUUGUAAAGCACUUUAAGUUGGGAGGAAGGGCAGUAAGUUAAUACCUUGCUGUUUUGACGUUACCAACAGAAUAAGCACCGGCUAACUUCGUG
This 484-nucleotide ribosomal RNA is filed under the name uncultured bacterium. Its description in RNAcentral is "partial 16S ribosomal RNA". It matches the Rfam family "Bacterial small subunit ribosomal RNA", at positions 30 to 507 of the family's 1533-position model. The record is from RNAcentral.